Gallus gallus (chicken) is the source of this 2498-nucleotide long non-coding RNA. The record is from Ensembl. NCBI's taxonomy places the organism in Eukaryota, Metazoa, Chordata, Aves, Galliformes, Phasianidae.
AAAGAAGUAAAUAAGUCCUAAAUUAGCAACAGCCUCCUUGGGUGCUGAGUACUGCUGGCAAUGAUCCCUGGUUGUAUACCAUCACUCUAGGAUUUUCACUGCUGGAUCUCAGGCAUCUUUCUGUCUUAUCGAAAGCUGAUAGAAGCCUUAUACUGAAAUUCUAUUCCAUUGUGGCUUUACCAGGACUUCUUUUUCACAUAAAUAUCAAGACGCAAAGAAAGAAAAACUUGGGGAUCACCAAGCUAGCCAAGGCACCAUGGCUGGAGGAGAAUAAUGAGUGUUCCCAGUGAUAUUCAAUUCCAGGAUUCCCCACUGCCUCAAGUGGAAUUAUUUGCCCUUUGAAAAUGUUCCUUUUUCCUUGACUAUAAAAGAUGUCUCAAGACAUGUUGGAACAGGUUGCCCAGAGAGGUGGUGGAUGCUCCAUCCCUUCAGACGUUCAAGGUCAAGCUGGACAGGGUUCUGAGCAACCUGAUGGAGCUGUAGACGUCCCUGUUCAUAGAGGGAAUUUAGCCUCGAUGACCUUUAAUGGCUCCUUCCAACUCAAGCAAUCCUGUGAUAUAAUACACCAAUGGCUUGAUUGAUAUGACUGAAAACUACCUGCAACAAUACAACAGGAGGACAGUAGCUCUUUUAAAGGAAAAGAGAGAUGACAAGAUAAUCCAUUCCCAGAAUGAAUGCCCAGAUAUCAAGCACUAUAUGUGAGAGCUGAAUAUUCAUAACCAUUUGCUUGAAGGCAAACAGUCUGCAGACUUGUUAGAGAAAACACUUGUCAGAAAAUGGUGUGAUGUGGGUUCCUUCUUGCGAAUAGGAUCAUGAGCAGGUACUUCACAUAUCCUGUAAUAAACAGGAUAUAUUUUUGCUCUUGUGCAAGACUCUUUCUAAUUAUUAUUACUGUGUUGUUUUUUUUUAAAUUUCAUUUACUUACAAUUUGUCUCUGUGUGAAGUCAUAACAUUUCAUGUCAAUUCUGUAUUAGCAGUUUAAAUCAAAUAAGAAAACCAGUAUAAGUAAAGCUAACUACAGUCACUAAAAUCAGUGGUAACAAUCUGGGGACCACAUUGAGAUGGGGAGAAAGGUGUUCCUGAAGUGUUGAACUGGGUUCUGCUCCCAGAGCUGAGCACUAGACUUCAGAGAUGCAUGAAUUCUUCCAAAAGAGGGCAGAAGCAGCAUUUACAGAGUCCCCUUGACAAAUGCAUUACCUUCCCCCAUUUGCAGUCCUCAGUCUCCCAGCAUUUCUGGGAGCAUUUCUGGCUCUACAAAAGAAACUGUAAGAACCAGCCAGGAAACUUCACAAAUACUACAACACCUACACCACACUGCAGGCUGCAAAACACGUUAAAAUCCUAAGUCAUCUUCCUGAAAACAAACUCCAGUAGGGAAAGUACAGACUUCAAAAUGAGUGGAAUGCCAAAAGUUAUUUUCAGCCCCUAAUAUUCUUAUUGUUUCAUUAUGCUUUCAUUUAUCAUGGUUUAAUAACAGUUUAAUUAGAAGUCUAAGGAAGCGUGUGAGUUUGUGUAUAGCCCAAGGUAAAAGACAAAGAAAUAAAAAGUAGUGGCCAGAAGGGUAUGAUGUUAUGUAGCCACAACUAACCAAUGUAAAAAAUUUUCAGCAUUCCAGGCAAUAAGAUCAGACCCAAUGUGUCACCUUACCCCAAGGGAGUGAAAUCAUUAGAAAAAAAGGUUGGAAGGGUCCACAGGAGGUAAUUUGGUCCUGCUCCCUGUCCUAAGGCUGGAUCAUGUCUACCUGCGUCAUUCCUGACAGAUGUUUGUCCAACCUGCCAUAAAAUACCUACACAUUAUCAGCACUGCCAGGUACCCAGGCAGACUUCUAUGCAUGUUUGGCACUGCCAAAAAAGUCUCAUUGAAUUGACAGUUGAAGAAAGUAUGAGAGAAAAAUAAAUAUAUAUAUUCUUACAGUACAAGAGAAGUUGUAUUGAUCUCAUGUUAAUAUCUCUCUGGGCAAAGAGGUCAUUCCAGUUGUUUGAUUUUUUCUUCAUACAAUUUCACAUAGAACAUAUGCAACAUGAUCCACAGGCUAUCCAAACUGACCUGUGGCAGGUAAAUACUGAAAAUGAAAUACAUAAAUAUGAAAUAGUUCAGUGGACAGACUAAGAAAUGUUGAGCUUCAAUUGGAGGACAUUGCCAAGAUCGACAUCAGUAUUUUUAAGAUUCAUACUUAUGCAGUUGAAGUAUCGAGAUAACAAUACAUCAUGUUUCAUCAAAAUGUCUGUCAUACAAACUCCCUUCCAAGAGGCAGAUCAAUAUUUCUAUAGUAGUUCAUAAUAAAUAAAUAAAUAAUAAGGAUAGCUACCAUAAAGCUUUGUGAAUGUUGAAUUUGAUGGUAUUAGAUUAGUUUGUUCUAGGUUCUAGGAAGAAUCCAUUGAGCUGAUGUGAGGGCUAAACCAUACGUAGACCAGUCUAUAUGCUGAGAAAUUUGAAAUGUUCACAGAAAAAUAAUGUUCUGAAGAAGAAGAAAAAGUUUAAAUUAUCUGGAAAAAAAA